CUNGGUCAUUUAGAGGAAGUAAAAGUCGUAACCAAGGUUUNCCGUAGGUGAACCUGCGGAAGGAUCAUUAGAAUUUGAAGCCGUCGCCGAUCGAAAGUGAAACCUCGGUGCCGUCCUCCUCGGAGGCGCAUUUCUAAACCAUGUGAAAACACCCGUUGCUUCGGCGGCUGCCGGCAGCCUCACCGCUGCCCGGCGUCAGCCCGUCGGUAGCUCCAACAAAACCAUUUCUGUAAACUUUUGUCAGAAUACGAAAAUUAAAUCGUUAAAACUUUCAACAACGGAUCUCUUGGUUCUCGCAUCGAUGAAGAACGCAGCGAAACGCGAUAGGUAAUGUGAAUUGCAGAAUUCAGUGAAUCAUCGAAUCUUUGAACGCACCUUGCGCUCCCUGGUAUUCCGGGGAGCAUGCCUGUUUGAGUGUCAUGAACUCUUCAACCCACCAGUUUCUAGUAGACUGCGUUGGUGUUUGGAUUUUGAGCGUUGCUAGUCUGACUAGCUCGUUCGUAAUAUAUUAGCAUCUCUAAUUCGAAUUCGGAUUGACUCAGUGUAAUAGACUAUUCGCUGAGGACACUUUUAUUAGUGGCCGUACUAGAACCAGUAGAAGCUUCCAACUAUUGUAGUCAACUUUAAUUUAGACCUCAGAUCAGGCAGGANUACCCGCUGAACUUAAGCAUAUCAAUAAGGAGGAGG
RNAcentral lists this ribosomal RNA (687 nucleotides) under uncultured Rhodotorula. RNAcentral describes it as "eukaryotic LSU rRNA". The stretch from base 267 to 420 matches the Rfam family "5.8S ribosomal RNA". Lineage: Eukaryota; Fungi; Basidiomycota. The record is from RNAcentral.